Molecule: transfer RNA, 84 nt
Filed under: Blumeria hordei DH14
Lineage: Eukaryota; Fungi; Ascomycota; Leotiomycetes; Helotiales; Erysiphaceae
Also listed under: 1 other name
Description: tRNA-Gln for anticodon CUG
Rfam family: tRNA
About the family: Transfer RNA (tRNA) molecules are approximately 80 nucleotides in length.
Source: Rfam by way of RNAcentral
GGCCAGUUGGUGUAAUGGUUAGCACGUCGGAUUCUGAUUGCGAGGAUCCUUCCGGAGAUGCUGGUUCGAUUCCUGCACAGGCCU